GACAGAGGGGGCAAGCGUUGCUCGGAAUUACUGGGCGUAAAGGGCGCGUAGGCGGGAUGGCAAGUCGGUUGUGAAAUCCUUCGGCUCAACCGAAGAACGUCGAUCGAUACUGCCACCCUUGAGGGAUGCAGAGGAGACUGGAAUUCCCGGUGUAGCGGUGAAAUGUGUAGAGAUCGGGAGGAACACCGGUGGCGAAGGCGGGUCUCUGGGCAUCUCCUGACGCUGAGGCGCGAAAGCGUGGGGAGCAAACGGG
RNAcentral lists this ribosomal RNA (253 nucleotides) under uncultured bacterium. Its description in RNAcentral is "partial 16S ribosomal RNA". It matches the Rfam family "Bacterial small subunit ribosomal RNA", at positions 524 to 776 of the family's 1533-position model. The record is from RNAcentral.